GACGAACGCUGGCGGCGGGCUUAACACAUGCAAGUCGAACGAAGUGGCGAACGGGUGAGUAACGCGUAAUCCACCUGCCCUUCAGAGGGGGACAACAGUUGGAAACGACUGCUAAUACCGCAUACUGAAGGAGGGGAUUGCGUGUGAUUAGCUAGUUGGGGGGGUAACGGCCCACCAAGGAGAUGAUCAGUAGCCGGUCUGAGAGGAUGAACGGCAACAUUGGGAAUGAGACACGGGCCAGAAUCCUACGGGAGGCAGCAGGGGGGAAUCUUCCGCAAUGGACGAAAGUCUGACGGAGCAACGCCGCGUGAGUGAUGACGGCCUUCGGGUUGUAAAGCUCUGUUAAGCGGGACGCGGUACCGGAAUAGAAAGCCACGGCUAACUACGUGCCAGCAGCCGCGGUAAUAC
This 408-nucleotide ribosomal RNA is filed under the name uncultured bacterium. Its description in RNAcentral is "partial 16S ribosomal RNA". It matches the Rfam family "Bacterial small subunit ribosomal RNA", at positions 28 to 526 of the family's 1533-position model. The record is from RNAcentral.